UGGAACAAUGUAGGGAAGGGAAUUCGCUAAAAUAGAUCUAUAACUUUGGGAAAAGGAUUGGCUUUGAGGGUUGGGCACGAGGGUCCCAGAACCAAACCCAUCGAUGUCGGUAGACUACUCGAGCUCCUCCAGGAGCGAGAGUGGGUUGCCGCCCGGUGGACAGAUUGGAAUGGUUCCUUCGGGGCCCUUUCCCAAGCUAUAAACAGCCAACUCAAAACUAGUACAAACAAGGGGAAUCCGACUGUUCAAUUAAAACAAAUGAUUUCGAUGGUCCCAACGCAUGUUUACACAAUGUGAUUUCUCCCUGGUGUUUUGAAUUUCAAAGUGAAGAAAUUCAACCAAGAGUGGGUAAAUGACGAGAGUAACUAUGACUCUCUUAAAGUAGCCAAAUGCCUCGUAAUCUAAUUAGUGAUGCACAUGAAUUGAUUAACAGCAUUCUUACUGUGUCUACUAUCCAAUGAAACCACAACCAAGGGAACAUGCUUUGUAGAAUCUGCCGGGAAAGAAGACCGUGUUGAGCUUGACUAGGUCCGACUUUGUGAAAUGACUUGAGAGGUGUAGUAAAAGUGGGCGCGGAAAGGCGAAAACAAAAUACAACUACUUUUAAUGUUAUUUUACUUAUUCUAUGAAUCAGAAGCGGGGUGUUGCUUCUCAUUAUGGAUCUAAGGUUUGCUUCACGGGCCGAUCCGAGUGGAAGACAUUGUCACGUGGGGGAGUUUGGCUGGGCGGCACACUUGUUUAAAGAUAAUACAUGUGUCCUAAGAUGAGCUCAAAGAGAAAAAAUCUCAUAUGGAUAGAAGGGUAAAAUCCCACUUAAUUCUGAUUUCCAUUACGAAUACGAACUAUGGAAGAGUGGCCUAAUGAUGCUUUAGACCUUCAAAAUUGGAAGCUAGAGGUGUUAGAAAAGUUACCACAUGGAUAAAUGGCUUAUGGCAGCCAAGCGUUCAUAGAGACAUUUUUUUAUCCUUCGAUGUCCGCUCUUCCUAUCAUUGUGAAGCAGAAUUCACCAAGUGUUGGAUUGUUCACCCACCAAUAGGGAAUGUGAGCCAGGUUUAAACUGUUGUGAGGCAGGUUUAACCUACUGAUGACAGUGUCACAAUAGUAAUUAAACCUAGUACGAGAGGAACUGUUGAUUCACACAAUUGGUCAUCGCACUAGGUAAAAAAGCCAGAGGUGUAAAUCUACCAUGUGCUGGAUUAAGACUGAACGCCUCUAAGUAAGAAUCUGGGAUAAAAGGUUCCACGUACUGACCCAUAGUAGGGAGUUAUAGCCCCCAUGGGCACUUGUCGUUGGCUAAAUUAUCGUAAUUAAAGCAUCGUGGUGACCGCCUUGAUGUAUAAUUUCCAUCGAGCAACGGGUAGAAUCCUUUGGAGAUAAAUGAAAUAUGCUACGGGGUAUUUUAAGUGACAGAGUGGCCUAGCUACUACCAUGAAACACUGAGAUUCAGCCCUUUUUCACUCUGAUUC
Molecule: non-coding RNA, 1466 nt
Filed under: Solanum tuberosum (potato)
Lineage: Eukaryota; Viridiplantae; Streptophyta; Magnoliopsida; Solanales; Solanaceae
Description: Eukaryotic large subunit ribosomal RNA
Rfam family: Eukaryotic large subunit ribosomal RNA
Source: Rfam by way of RNAcentral